UUUCGCAAUGCCCGAAAGGGUGACGAAGCGACGCCGCGUGUGGGAAGAAGGCCUUCGGGUUGUAAACCACUGUUGGGAGUUAGGAAGUGUGGGGGUGUUAAUAGCGCCUUCACUUGACUAAAGCUCCAGAGGAAGCCACGGCUAACUCUGUGCCAGCAGCCGCGGUAAUACAGAGGCGGCAAGCGUUGUUCGGAAUUAUUGGGCGUAAAGAGCACGUAGGCGGCUCUGUAAGUCAGCUGUGAAAGCCUUCUGCUUAACGGAAGAACAGCAGUUGAAACUACGGUGCCUGAGUGCGGGAGGGGAGAGUGGAACUUCUGGUGGAGCGGUGAAAUGCGUAGAUAUCAGAAGGAACGCCGGCGGCGAAAGCGGCUCUCUGGCCCGUAACUGACGCUGAGUGUGCGAAAGCUAGGGGAGCAAACGGGAUUAGAUACCCCGGUAGUCCUAGCCGUAAACGAUGGGCACUAAGUAGAGGGGUUUUA
Molecule: ribosomal RNA, 479 nt
Filed under: uncultured bacterium
Lineage: Bacteria
Description: bacterial SSU rRNA
Rfam family: Bacterial small subunit ribosomal RNA
Source: RNAcentral